This is a long non-coding RNA of Heterocephalus glaber (naked mole-rat), 2220 nucleotides long. NCBI's taxonomy places the organism in Eukaryota, Metazoa, Chordata, Mammalia, Rodentia, Bathyergidae. The record is from Ensembl.
ACCUGUCUAUACUCUGGGGUAACCUUACACUCAUGGUUUCUCAGUGUCUUCACGGUUCCAGAAUCUUGUGGCUUUGGUCUUGAUUGGAAUUGAAUCCCUUGCAAUUUUUAAGAAAGAUGAGAGGAGGACCUCCUAACUUGCAGAUUGAAUCCUUUUUCUUCCAGCUCUCAGGACCCGGGCAACUGAAGCUCCAUUCUACUUCUACCAAUUAACAUGGUCUCCUUCCUCAGCCCCCUUUCCCCUCCCCCUUCUUGAAAGAGGAAAAACUAUGACCUCUUGGAAACCAAAAUCCCAACCACAAAUCUCUUCAAGGUUAGCACUAUGCGCUAAAAAAAUGAAUCACAAAAAGAACGUGCCUUCAAAAUAUCAGUCUUAACUGUAAAACACAGAUAAAAACCAUCCUUUUAAUCCAGUUUUCCCAGCUGUCCUUCUGUUGGCAAUGGAGCCUCAAGCUCCAAACGGGGUGGGGUGGGGGAAUAAUUCUCUGGUCUUCAAUGCUUAAAAUGACAAGAGCAGGUAAUAUGUUCGAGAAAGCGAAUCAGAAAAAAAAAAUUGAAUAAAUCCGAAAUGGCACUUGGAAAAAAAUCUUCCAGCUGAUCCGCACGGUAAAAAAAAUAAAUAAAUAAAACCAUACAAUAGUAUGUACACAACAGCACUCCUCCCAGGUUCAGUGCAACCUCGGGAAACAAAAUCUGUGGAUUUUUUAAAAAAAAAAGCUUUUACAUUAAAGAGUUAAAGGUUUUGAAAUUCUGAAAUGAGCCAUUCACACCAAAAAAAAAAAAAAAAAAAAUCACAGAACACCUGAAAUGCAGUGGUUUUUUUACCUUUAAAAUGAGAGCAUUCGCCAAAACCAGAGAGAAGCUCUGAAAAUAUUCCCUGCUUUUUCCUUCAAACUCGCAGGUUUCCCACACCUACCCCAGCCUGGUUCUGAGCCCCAGACCUCGUUCGGCCUUUCUCCGACAGCCAAUUUCCUGAGUUAGUUCUGCCGUUUCUCUCCUCCACAUCCAGGCUCCGAAAGCCUCCCUCGCCUCAGCCUCCAUGAACCGGGGUCCGCUCCCCUCGCUGGGCGCCUGGCCCGCACGGCGGCGCCGCUGCUCUCGGUGGGGACGACGCGCGCGGCUCCGCCAAGCCUGGUGGCGCCGGCUCAGGUGGGCUUCUUCUCGCCGCUCCGGCCCGGCCGCCCGGCCCCGCGCCCUCGGCCUCCGCGGCCCGGACGCAGCGCGGCUGCUGGAGGCGGGUCCGCCGGCGUCGCGGCCGCGCUCCCGCUUCCGGGCCCCUUCCCCCCGUCGCUGGCUGGCGCUGGCGCAGGCUCGGCCGGCCGCCCCCUCCCCGCUGCUCCGCGCCCGCCGCCGUCCGCUCCCUCCCCGCUGGCGGGCGGGGCCGCGCUCCUCCCCGGCUCCGCCCUCGCUCCGCCUCCCGCCUCGGCCGCCCCGCCCCUCCGCCCUCCGCGGCCGAGCGGCCUAGCUGGUCCGGCGCGCGGGUCUCCCCGCGAGGCCCGACCUUUGUUCCCGACCUGCCCGGCCGCGCCGUCCCGGGUGCGUCCCGCGUGCCUGCCCCGCCUCUCUCCUCACAUUUUCCGGUCGCCGUGGCCCCUUUUCGGAGCCGGGAGUGCGGAGGCGGUUUCCUCGCGUGUCUGUGGCUGGGGGCCGCCCCUCGCGCCCCCCGGGUUCGGCGCGCACCUACUCUGCGGCUCGGCCGCCGCGCCUGAGUUCGGCGAAAGCCUUUCCAGGGACUCUGCAGAUGAAUCCUUUCCCUCCGCCUACAUCCUGUGUGGUAGGUGAGCACCAGCCCUUCCGGUCACUACAGUUAAGGAGACUGGCCCAAGAAGGUUUGGGGAGAUUUGCCUAAAAUCCCAUGAACUGACAGACUGAGGCUAGGCUUCAUACCUGAUCAUCUUUAAGCAAUGAGAAGCAGAGGAAAAGGCAGUAGUGGGGAUCGAACUUGGGUCCUUGUGCUUGAGCAGCAGCAGCAGCACCAGAAAAAGAAGAAGAAGAGGAGGAGGAGGAGGAGGAGCAAGAAGAAGAAGAGGAGGAGAAGAAGAAGAGGAAGAAGAAAGAAGAGGAGGAGGAAGCAGAAGAAGCAACUUUUCAAUUGUGGGCAGAAAUCCCAAGACCAAACUGGUUGUUUCUUCUAGAAAGAUGACUCUUUAAGUUAUUAUCAUUCUCCUUCCAGGGUGCUGUUCAGGGACAGGCCUGGCAAAAUAAAACUGCUACUGGAGAG